GGUAAGGUGGGGGCAGCGGGCGCUGUACGAGGAAGGGGUGCAGUGUUGGACGGAAUUAGUGGGCGGAAAGCGGACGUAGGCGGGUAUGUGAGGCAUGGGGGAAAUCGCCGUGGUCAACGUGGGAACGGCAUUUGAGACUGGGAGGGUAGAGGAGGGAAGAGGUAAGUGGAAUUGCGGGUGUAGCGGUGAAAUGCGUAGAUAGUUGCAGGAAGACCGGUGGCGAAGGCGGCUUACUGGUCCAUUACUGACGCUGAGGUGCGAAAGCGUGGGGAGCAAACAGGAUUAGAUACCCGUGUAAUC
Molecule: ribosomal RNA, 300 nt
Filed under: uncultured archaeon
Lineage: Archaea
Description: bacterial SSU rRNA
Rfam family: Bacterial small subunit ribosomal RNA (bases 52-300)
Source: RNAcentral